Molecule: long non-coding RNA, 760 nt
Organism: Ostrinia nubilalis (European corn borer)
Lineage: Eukaryota; Metazoa; Arthropoda; Insecta; Lepidoptera; Crambidae
Exons: 3
Source: RefSeq, a predicted model, not a curated record
AUUCUAUCAAAAAUUAAAACAACCCAAGUUUCAAUAACUACUCCUGUAACUUUGGUUUCUUCAUAUCAAAUAAUCAAUUUCAUUUUCAGUGCCAAAGGCAAGAAUAAUUGCCCACGCCAGAUGGAGACCCAGCUAAAUAAUGUAGUAACAGCGCGUGGUCGUGUGAUGAGGGUUCCUUGACUUGAGUUCUGGCGCAACACGUCCUGGGCACUAAACAAGAUUGGGGAUGGGACGUCUAAAGAGGUGCAAGCCUGGAAAACGCUCUCGUCUUGCUCUACAGCACUUGCACUUGUCCCACCAUCUACCAGUGUUGGAACUCUUCCAAUAAUUUCCCACACCCAGGUGGAGAAUACUCCAGUUACUGCUACUGCUACUCUAAAAUAUCUCUCAUCUUGUUCUACAGCGCCUGCACCUGUCCUACCAUCUACCAGUGUUGGAACUCUUCGAAGUGUAUUAAUGAUUAUUAUUUUAGUAACCAUAAAAGUUUAAAACAAUACAUUUUAUUGCAUAAUUAUUUGUUAGAAAAAACGACAAGUACAAAUGAGUAGGGAGGCUGUUGAUUUUUCAUGGUUAUUUUAUAUCUUGUUGAUUGUUCCAAAAAAAACUAAGUUUUCAAGAAUGCUGUGAUUAAAGUACCUAUAGUAUUAUAUUUAAAAUAAAAACUUAGUUUGUAAAGAGACGAAGGCUGACCACAAAAGAAGUACUUAUAGCUGUCUGUGUCUGUGUAAAGAAUUUAAAUAAAAAGAUGUGUAUAUUUAAA